This is a long non-coding RNA of Triticum aestivum (bread wheat), 501 nucleotides long. RefSeq lists it as uncharacterized. The record is from RefSeq and is a predicted model, not a curated record. The transcript has 3 exons. Lineage: Eukaryota; Viridiplantae; Streptophyta; Magnoliopsida; Poales; Poaceae.
CGAGCCGAGCGUGCCUCCUCCCCGUCCGCAAAAUCGCAUCCCUUUAACGCGUUCCAUUUCGAACAGCCGGCGCAUCAGCGUUGUCGGAGCGCAUGAUAGACUACUAAAUGGACAAGUAUCUGCAACGUUCAGCGUCGAAGAUGAUGCUUACCAGAUGUUCUACUACAACCCCAUCCAUAUCAUCGACAUGAAGUUAGAUUUUGGCAUUCAUUCGUCAAAAGUUGGUGUACAAGGAACUCCAGGAGAAGAAUCUUUAAGUAAAUAAUUUAUAUAGAUCAGGAUCUUAUGUUGUCGAGGUGGCUGCUGUUGUGACCAAAGAUCAGCCUGGAGAUGUGCAUCAUAGUUUUAGUUGAUGUUGCCACCAUGUUUUGGUGCCUGUGUAUUUGAUUGUAUGUACACUUGAUGGACCGUGUAGUCGUGUACGUGCUGUUUGAGUUUCAUUUAGUGAUUUCUGGAUUUGAUCAUUUAAUUGAGAAAAUUAUUUAUUGUUUGCUGUUGAAA